CCUACGGGUGGCAGCAGUGAGGAAGAUUGGUCAAUGGGCGUAAGCCUGAACCAGCCAAGUCGCGUGAGGGAUGAAGGUUCUAUGGAUCGUAAACCUCUUUUAUAAGGGAAGAAAGUGUGGGACGUGUCCGAUGUUGUAUGUACCUUAUGAAUAAGGAUAGGCUAACUCCGUGCCAGCAGCCGCGGUAAUACGGAGGAUCCGAGCGUUAUCCGGAUUUAUUGGGUUUAAAGGGUGCGUAGGCGGCCUGUUAAGUCAGCGGUGAAAGUCGGUGGCUCAACCAGAGAAUUGCCGUUGAAACUGGUGGGCUUGAUUAUGUUUGAGCCAGGCGGACUGCGUGGUGUAGCGGUGCACUGCUUCGAUCUCACGCAGAACCCCGAUUGCGCCGGCAGCCUGCCACGCCAUGACUGACGCUGAUGCACUAACGCGUG
This 428-nucleotide ribosomal RNA is filed under the name uncultured bacterium. RNAcentral describes it as "partial 16S ribosomal RNA". It matches the Rfam family "Bacterial small subunit ribosomal RNA", at positions 338 to 763 of the family's 1533-position model. The record is from RNAcentral.